GACGAACGCUGGCGGUGUGCUUAACACAUGCAAGUCGAACGGUAAGGCCCUUUCGGGGGUACACGAGUGGCGAACGGGUGAGUAACACGUGAGUAACCUGCCCUCAUCUCUGGGAUAACAGUCGGAAACGGUUGCUAAUACUGGAUAUGAGCUUGCAAGGCAUCUUGUGGGUUGGAAAGAUUUUUUUGGUUGGGGAUGGACUCGCGGCCUAUCAGCUUGUUGGUGAGGUAGUGGCUCACCAAGGCUUCGACGGGUAGCCGGCCUGAGAGGGCGACCGGCCACAUUGGGACUGAGAUACGGCCCAAACUCCUACGGGAGGCAGCAGUGGGGAAUAUUGUACAAUGGACGGAAGUCUGAUGCAGCAACGCCGCGUGCGGGAUGACGGCCUUCGGGUUGUAAACCGCUUUCAAUUGUGACGAAGCUUUUUGUGACGGUAGCAGUAGAAGAAGCACCGGCUAACUACGUG
RNAcentral lists this ribosomal RNA (466 nucleotides) under uncultured bacterium. RNAcentral's name for it is "partial 16S ribosomal RNA". It matches the Rfam family "Bacterial small subunit ribosomal RNA", at positions 28 to 507 of the family's 1533-position model. The record is from RNAcentral.